GACCAGAGGCAGGACCCUGGUGGGAUCUGAAGGGACAGAGCAGCCCCACCAGAGAGAGCAUCACCCAGAGAGAGAGCCACUACCCUCAGCCUCCUUUGCCAACGGGGAUCACCACCCCCCCACCCCCACUCCCCUGCGAGCCUGGCUCCUGGUCCCUCCCUGGCCCCUUCCCUGCAGCACCACCCCUGGUCCCUGUCCCCAAAGUGGUGUCUAGAGGGCCAGGAGGCAAAAGCAGAAGCGCAGGUGCCCUACCCACCAGCCAGCGCCCUGGGCACCACUGGGGCCUCAGGCCUGAAUCCUGGGGCGCUGCAGCCGGUGGCCAGAGCUAUGCCCUCCGUGUGCCAGCACAUGUACAGAUGGGGCGGCGGAACAGGUCAGGAAAUGAAGAGUAAGGGAGCAUCGCGAUCCCACAGACACAAAACCAGCCCCCUGCCUGCCUCUCCCUGGGGAAACGGAUCCGGGUUCAUCUCACUCAGGGGCUUGGCAUCUGGCCCGGGGUCAGAAUUCCUCGCAGAAAAUCUAACGAAAGGAGAAAAGCACAUUUUCAAUCCCGCACAAGAAAGAUGCUUCCCGGAAGUUAUGACGUCAUUGCAUCUGGGGGCACUGCGCUUUUGUGGUGAAGAAAAAGGACGGAAAAGAAUGUACCCUGUUAUUUUGUGAGAAGGGGAAACACAGGCCACAAAUCCCUGGUCCUCUUGGCCCUCGUCUACCACACCCUUCCCCAUCCCUGGCCACGUGGCUGCCUGGGAGGAACCCGCUGGCCCACAGGAUGGCAUGAAACACUCCCCUGACUCCCAGCUCGCUUACGGGUAAUGUUUUCAGGGCACAGACGAGAGUGGGGUGAAGCGUGUUUCCAGGUCCCGCUCCCCAACAGACCCGUCCUAAUCUGGCGCGUUUUGGAUGCGAUGGAGUGACAUCAUAGGCCCGGCUACAAAAAUGGCCCCAGGUCGCCAGCAGACUGAGCCCCCCAAAAUUGUAGAGCCAGAGGUCUGUUGGGCCACCUGUCAGAUCGACCCUUAAGGCCACAGACACAGCCUCAGUGGGGUUCCCCCUGGAGCAUGUACUCCUACUGUUUCUUCCUCUGUUUCCCAAUCCUUAUCAGAAACCUCA
Long non-coding RNA from Felis catus (domestic cat), 1110 nucleotides. RefSeq lists it as uncharacterized. Lineage: Eukaryota; Metazoa; Chordata; Mammalia; Carnivora; Felidae. The record is from RefSeq and is a predicted model, not a curated record. The transcript is spliced from 3 exons.